AUCCAGCUGACGAGUCCCAAAUAGGACGAAAUACGCGUCAAACUGGAU
Molecule: non-coding RNA, 48 nt
Organism: Schistosoma rodhaini
Lineage: Eukaryota; Metazoa; Platyhelminthes; Trematoda; Strigeidida; Schistosomatidae
Source: Rfam